RNAcentral lists this ribosomal RNA (483 nucleotides) under Graphis scripta. RNAcentral describes it as "eukaryotic LSU rRNA". It matches the Rfam family "Eukaryotic large subunit ribosomal RNA", at positions 143 to 642 of the family's 3401-position model. The record is from RNAcentral. Lineage: Eukaryota; Fungi; Ascomycota; Lecanoromycetes; Ostropales; Graphidaceae.
UUGUAAUUUGGAGAAGGUGUUUCGGAGGAGAUGAUGGUCCAAGUCCCUUGGAACAGGGCGUCACAGAGGGUGAGAAUCCCGUACGUGACCAAUCAUCGAUUCCAUGUGAAACCCUUUCGACGAGUCGAGUUGUUUGGGAAUGCAGCUCUAAAUGGGUGGUAAAUUUCAUCUAAAGCUAAAUACCUGCCAGAGACCGAUAGCGCACAAGUAGAGUGAUCGAAAGAUGAAAAGCACUUUGAAAAGAGAGUCAAACAGUACGUGAAAUUGUUGAAAGGGAAGCGCUUGCAAUUAGACUCGUUUGCAGAAGCUCAGCCUUCCUUCGGGAUGGUGUAUUCUUCUGUCAACGGGCCAGCAUCAGUUUCGGCGGUUGGAUAAAGACUUUGAGAAUGUAGCUCUUCUCGGAGAGUGUUAUAGCUCGGAGUGUAAUGCAGCAGCUGAGACUGAGGUCCGCGCUUUUGCUAGGAUGCUGGCGUAAUGGUUGCU